GCCGGUGCGUAUAGCGUUGAGGUUCCACCCGUUCCCUUUCCGAACACGGCAGUUAAGCUCAGCCGCGGCCACGAUACUCGAGGGGCGACCCUCCGGGAAAAUAGCUCCGCGCCGGCA
This 117-nucleotide ribosomal RNA is filed under the name Oscillospiraceae bacterium. Lineage: Bacteria; Bacillati; Bacillota; Clostridia; Eubacteriales; Oscillospiraceae. The record is from RNAcentral.